AUUGAACGCUGGCGGCAGGCCUAACACAUGCAAGUCGAGCGGAUGAAGGGAGCUUGCUCCUGGAUUCAGCGGCGGACGGGUGUGUAAUGCCUAUGAAUCUGCCUGGUAGUGGGGGAUAACGUCCGUAAACGGGCGCUAAUACCGCAUACGUCCUGAUGGAGCAAGUGGGGGAUCUUCGUACCUCACGCUAUCAGAUGAGCCUAGGUCGGAUUAGCUAGUUGGUGGGGUAAAGUCCUACCAAGGCGACGAUCCGUAACCGGUCUGAGAGGAUGAUCAGUCACACGGGAACUGAGACACGGUCCAGACUACUACGGGAGGCAGCAGUGGGGAAUAUUGGACAAUGGGCGAAAGCAUGAUCCAGCCAUGCCGAGUGUGUGAAGAAGGUCUUCGGAUUGUAAAGCACUUUAAGUUGGGAGGAAGGGAAGUAAGUUAAUACCUUGCUGUUUUGACGUUACCAACAGAAUAAGCACCGGCUAACUUCGUG
This 484-nucleotide ribosomal RNA is filed under the name uncultured bacterium. RNAcentral describes it as "partial 16S ribosomal RNA". It matches the Rfam family "Bacterial small subunit ribosomal RNA", at positions 30 to 507 of the family's 1533-position model. The record is from RNAcentral.